CUAGAGCAUUAAGCUCAGACUCGAUUAUCCAUUGAGCUCGUUGAUCGGCUCAAUCGAGUACAUCACCCUAAUUUUUACAUUUUAGAAUGCUUGUUUCCCUAUGUCCCUUCCGAUACCCGUGGAACUUGGCCCGUCCGUGACCUCUGGGCCUUGCGUUAGACAACCCUCAACAAAGGAUCAUAACUACAAAAUUCUCAAAAGAGAGGUUGGAAGUGAUUGAACUCUUUGGCACAAAUUGGAAAUGGAAUACAGAUUCUGAAUGGGGCCACAUUCCUCCUCAUGAGCGCUCUACGCUUCCAUCUUCUUACUACUCCGUUGCCCAUUUCUGCUUCCAAGUCUUCAUUGCCGUUCCUCAAUUCUCCGCAUCUGAAAUCAACUUCAUCCUAGAGGAUCUUGGAUGUCUUAAUUUUCACUAGCCUCGAGACUCGAUCACUCAGAAACGCAAUCUUUUCCAUGGCCGAGUCGGAUUUCAGCUAUCUGAACCCAGCAGUUGCUGAAAUUAUUGUAAUAAGGCACGGUGAAACAGCUUGGAAUGCCGAUGGAAGAAUCCAGGUAUGGCAAUUCUCUCACUGGAGGCAUAAUGCUAUCGAUCAAUUUCAGAGGCAUUCUUCCAUUCUGCUGGCUGUUGGGGCUACAUGGGGACAUCUGGACGUUGAAUUAAAUGAAGCUGGGCGACAGCAAGCAGUUGCAGUUGCAAAUCGGCUGGCCAAGGAGCCUCCAAUCUCUGCUGUAUACUCUUCUGACUUAAAAAGAGCUCUUGAAACUGCACAGAUAAUUGCAACUACAUGUGGUAAUCUGGAGGUUACUAAAGAUCCUGACUUGAGGGAAAGAAAUUUAGGAGAUCUUCAAGGUCUUGUGUAUCGCGAGGCAGUCAUAACAAACCCUGAAGCUUCUGAGGCUUUGAGAUCUCACAGGUCAGACCAGACAAUUCCGAGUCGCAUCCCACCCAUGUCCCAGCUGUGUCGGAAAUUAAAAAAAAAUAAUAAAAUAUUCUGUCGUGUCGGACAUGUGUCGGCGGCGUGUUGGUGUCGGACAUGUCACUUGGCCAUUUAGGAGUGUUCGGUGCUUUAUAGGUGGCAAGGAACAGAAUGAAAAAGCAAGCCGAUAUGAAUAAAAGGGAGCUAUACUUCGAGGUAGGAGAUGAAGUGUUUUUGAAACUCCACCCCUGUAGACAAUGUUAUUUAGCAAGGAAACAUUGUGAAAAGCUGGCUCCAAAAUUCUAUGGCCCUUACCAAGUGCUGGAACGAAUUAGUGAGGUGGCAUAUAAACUAGAGUUACCUCCAAAGGCAAACAUCCAUAAUGUGUUCCAUAUUUCUCAGUUGAAGAAAAAGUUGGGUGAGCAAAUCAGGGUGCAACAACACCCGCCAGCAUUAACCGAGGAAUUUGAAUUACAGGUAGUCCCAUAAUUCAUCAUGGGGAUUCGUUGGAACAGGGAAUUGGCUGCAAACGAAUGACUAGUAAAAUGGAAAGACUUACCAAAGAGUGAAGCAUCAUGGGAGUUGGUUUACUUGAUGAAAGAACAGUUCCCUUAUCUCCACCUUGAGGACAAGGUGCAUUUCGAGGCGGGUGGUAUUGUUAAACCUCCAAUCAUACACACUUAUAAGAGGAGGGGUAGAAGAGGAAUUACACCUAGGAUUGUGGGAGGAGGUAGUAACCGUGAGGAAAAUGGAAUCCAAAAGGGAGACCACAAGACUGGGCUAUAAACAAAAUGGAGGGAGGCUGGAAGGGUAGGAAUCAUUUUGGGAGAAGCUUCCUUGGCUUGAAGGAGAGAAUUCUAGCCCUCUCGAAUCGGCUAGAUCGUUAUGUUUCUUAUCCUUUCUAUUAUCUUUAUUAUUCCUCUUUUGUGUUCUUGUUUCCUUUUCUAGUGUAAGUUCCUUGAACAUUCUCUGUAAAUAAUUCACUCUGAGACCAAGGAUAUUGCUCUGUUUUUCUGGGUAUUCUUUGUGGUUGUUGUGUUGUUGGGUUUUCUAAGUGCAGGAGGGGAAAGAUACCUAACAGAUUGCCGCUCCUCAGAGUGGACAUGAUAGUCUUAAGAGGAAGCUAGAUGCCUCGGGAAAGUUUACAAGUAAAACUAUUUUUCUGAAUAUUGCUAAGAGAGCCUCCCUUCUCACUUUUCCUCUGGUGCAUAUCAUCUGGAAACUUAAAAUUCCAAAAAAGGUGAAGUUUUUCCUAUGGUCCCUUGCUUAUUGAAGUCUUAAUACUCAUGACAAGUUUCAAAGGAAGCUUCAACAUUUUUCUCUUGGUCCUUCUGUCCCUUUGCCUUAAAAACGAGGAGUCCCUUGACCAUUUGUUUCUGCAUUGUGACUUUGCCAAGAAGGGUUGGAAUCUCUUGUUUAGAACUUUUGGCUCGGAAUAUUGCCUCCGAAGCAAGAUCGAUGAUUGGUUGAUUGAUAGGCUAGAUAGUAAAGCUUUUGGUCCUAGAGGGAACAUCCUUUGGAGGGUGGUGGAGAAAGUCUUGAUCAACUUUAUCAGCGUUGCACAUCUUCAUUGCAAAAGAUUGGAAAUAAACAUAGAGGGCAACGAGUAGUUGUGGUCACUCAUGGCGGUACAAUCCGAGCGCUGUGUAAGCGAGCUCAUCCUC
This is an RNA transcript of Benincasa hispida (wax gourd), 2581 nucleotides long. It is a transcript of the gene named Phosphoglycerate mutase family protein, with no coding region annotated. The record is from RefSeq and is a predicted model, not a curated record. Lineage: Eukaryota; Viridiplantae; Streptophyta; Magnoliopsida; Cucurbitales; Cucurbitaceae.